CAGUCGCCGCGGUAAUACGUAGGGUGCAAGCGUUAAUCGGAAUUACUGGGCGUAAAGCGUGCGCAGGCGGUUUGUUAAGACAGAUGUGAAAUCCCCGGGCUUAACCUGGGAACUGCAUUUGUGACUGGCAAGCUAGAGUAUGGCAGAGGGGGGUGGAAUUCCGCGUGUAGCAGUGAAAUGCGUAGAUAUGCGGAGGAACACCGAUGGCGAAGGCAGCCCCCUGGGCCAAUACUGACGCUCAUGCACGAAAGCGUGGGGAGCAAACAGGAUUAGAUACCCCAGUAGUCCCUGUCUCUUAUAC
This 301-nucleotide ribosomal RNA is filed under the name uncultured bacterium. Its description in RNAcentral is "partial 16S ribosomal RNA". It matches the Rfam family "Bacterial small subunit ribosomal RNA", at positions 509 to 807 of the family's 1533-position model. The record is from RNAcentral.